Brassica napus (rape) is the source of this 1140-nucleotide RNA transcript. It is a transcript of the gene named E3 ubiquitin-protein ligase RHF1A, with no coding region annotated. NCBI's taxonomy places the organism in Eukaryota, Viridiplantae, Streptophyta, Magnoliopsida, Brassicales, Brassicaceae. The record is from RefSeq and is a predicted model, not a curated record. The transcript has 4 exons.
CGAAAAUUCAUCACUUUCUUCCUCUCAAACAUUAUGAUGAUGACGCUUGCGGCAUCUGUUUCGUGCCUUUCACUUUCCAGAACCGCCACUGUUACAAGUUGCAAGCAUGAAUAUCACCUUAAGCGCGACAUUGAAUGGUCACAGAGGAGCAGAGAGUGUUCUAUUUGCUGGCAACUGUUUGUCCUCAAAGAUCCUGCUAGGACCAUUUACUUACUUGCUUCAUCAGGUUCCCUUUGUCAAACUCUAAUCCCUGUAACAAAAAUCUGUGGUUUAGGUGCUAAAAGACUCCAACUUUAACGGUGCAAAAGAUUGUAUCAAUCAGUUCAUCAAGUCCUGAGACGUGAACUAGACAUGGUGGAGAAUGAAAAGAAAGAAUGCAUCUCCAACUUCUCCAAGGUCAGUAUCUUUCGUUCAGUUUUUAAAAACAUAUAAAUGUUUAACAAGUUGACGGUCUCGGGAAGCUAUGCUCUAUGUACAGAUAGCACAUAAUCCCAUCUUCUUCCACAGCCCUUUCACGGUUGGAUUGUGGAAAAUAUUCAUAGGGAACCAGCUAGACAUCAACCCAUCAUCGGCCAGUGAAAAAAUCUUCAUACUACAACUCUUCACGUAUAAUAUGUGGAGAGAACAUAACUGCAGGACUUUCAGACAAACUUCCUCUUCGGAGCGAGCGAUCAAUGAAGGACAAGCUUCUCUCCAUUCCGGCUACGUCGUCUACAGCUCACUCUAUGCUCGAGAUCUAAUUCUGCUUCAUUGCACUUUUCAACUAAGGAUGCUCACCUCACUCUCAGUCUGUUUUCCAUCUUCUUUGUUGACAAUACUGCUAUGUUUCAUCAGACUUGUCUGUUUUUCAUCUUCUUCUAAUAAAUUACUUGCAACAAACUCUGUAAAUUUUUGAAAAUUUGGUGUGAAUCUCUAACAUGUUUUCAACAAAAAAAGAGAGCAAUGUAUUACAAAAUGAGAGGCGAUUCUGACUCAGUUUGACUCGGAACGAAUCCUCAGUACCACUCUACUCGCCAUGGUAGCAGAAGCCACUUUGAGUAAUCAUGUCAUUGACUUAGGCUCCUAUUUAUUUAUGUUUUUUCUCGAGUGAGUCGGCGAGUUUAUUGAGCUGAGUAUACACGGUAGUGAAUACAGACGAAU